UUAUUUAAUCAUUUCAGAUCAAGAGGACAUCGUUCCCGAGUCGGUUCCGCAGGAGGACGACGAAGGGGACGCCUAAAGACUCCAUAGUCAUAUUCGUAGCUUUUACUUUCAAGUUUCUCCUUUAGGUAGUUUGAUCUUUUAUAUUUUAUGAGCAUGUUUUUGGUUUUAGUGUAAGGGAUAUUAUUCAAAUUUUGACUUCGCUUCCGCAUUUGAUAUUUUUAAUAUACAUUUCAU
RNAcentral lists this long non-coding RNA (234 nucleotides) under Carica papaya (papaya). Its description in RNAcentral is "long non-coding RNA (CPAP_LNC006756)". The record is from RNAcentral. Lineage: Eukaryota; Viridiplantae; Streptophyta; Magnoliopsida; Brassicales; Caricaceae.